RNAcentral lists this ribosomal RNA (427 nucleotides) under uncultured bacterium. RNAcentral describes it as "bacterial SSU rRNA". It matches the Rfam family "Bacterial small subunit ribosomal RNA", at positions 355 to 774 of the family's 1533-position model. The record is from RNAcentral.
UGGGGAAUUUUGGUCAAUGGGCGCAAGCCUGAUCCAGCAAUGCCGCGUGCAGGAUGAAGGCCUUCGGGUUGUAAACUGCUUUUGUACGGAACGAAAAGGCUCUGGUUAAUACCUGGGGCUCAUGACGGUACCGUAAGAAUAAGCACCGGCUAACUCCGUGCCAGCAGCCGCGGUAAUACGGAGGGUGCAAACGUUGCUCGGAAUCAUUGGGCGUAAAGCGCACGUAGGCGGCGAAGCAAGUCGGGUGUGAAAGCCCUGGGCUCAACCUGGGAACUGCAUUUGUGACUGUAUAGCUAGAGUACGGCAGAGGGGGAUGGAAUUCCGCGUGUAGCAGUGAAAUGCGUAGAUAUGCGGAGGAACACCGAUGGCGAAGGCAAUCCCCUGGGCCUGUACUGACGCUCAUGCACGAAAGCGUGGGGAGCAAACA